Molecule: transfer RNA, 74 nt
Filed under: Gnetum gnemon
Lineage: Eukaryota; Viridiplantae; Streptophyta; Gnetopsida; Gnetales; Gnetaceae
Description: transfer RNA-Asn
Source: RNAcentral
CUCCCCAAGUAGGAUUUGAACCUACGACUAAAAUCGGUUAACAGCCGAUUGCUCUACCGCUGAGCUAUUGGGGA